UACAGAGGUGGCAAGCGUUGUUCGGAAUUACUGGGCGUAAAGGGCGCGUAGGCGGCCGCCUAAGUCAGACGUGAAAUCCCCCGGCUCAACCUGGGAACUGCGUCUGAUACUGGGCGGCUUGAGUUCGGGAGAGGGAUGCGGAAUUCCAGGUGUAGCGGUGAAAUGCGUAGAUAUCUGGAGGAACACCGGUGGCGAAGGCGGCAUCCUGGACCGAUACUGACGCUGAGGCGCGAAAGCCAGGGGAGCAAACGGG
Molecule: ribosomal RNA, 253 nt
Filed under: uncultured bacterium
Lineage: Bacteria
Description: partial 16S ribosomal RNA
Rfam family: Bacterial small subunit ribosomal RNA
Source: RNAcentral